GACGAACGCUGGCGGCGUGCUUAACACAUGCAAGUCGAACGGAAAGGCCCUGCUUUUGUGGGGUGCUCGAGUGGCGAACGGGUGAGUAACACGUGAGUAACCUGCCCUUGACUUUGGGAUAACUUCAGGAAACUGGGGCUAAUACCGGAUAGGAGCUCCUGCUGCAUGGUGGGGGUUGGAAGGUUUCGGCGGUUGGGGAUGGACUCGCGGCUUAUCAGCUUGUUGGUGGGGUAGUGGCUUACCAAGGCUUUGACGGGUAGCCGGCCUGAGAGGGUGACCGGCCACAUUGGGACUGAGAUACGGCCCAGACUCCUACGGGAGGCAACAGUGGGGAAUAUUGCACAAUGGGCGGAAGCCUGAUGCAGCAACGCCGCGUGCGGGAUGACGGCCUUCGGGUUGUAACCGCUUUCGCCUGUGACGAAGCGUGAGUGACGGUAAUGGGUAAAGAAGCACCGGCUAACUACGUG
RNAcentral lists this ribosomal RNA (467 nucleotides) under uncultured bacterium. RNAcentral describes it as "partial 16S ribosomal RNA". It matches the Rfam family "Bacterial small subunit ribosomal RNA", at positions 28 to 507 of the family's 1533-position model. The record is from RNAcentral.